GAUGAACGCUAGCGGAAGGCUUAAUACAUGCAAGUCGAGCGGUAGGUGGCUUCGGCCAUUGAGAGCGGCGCACGGGUGAGUAACGCGUACAUGACCUGCCUGUCAGAAGGGGAUAGCCCUGGGAAACUGGGAUUAAUACCCUAUGGUAUUGAUAUUAUGAAUGAUAUCAAUUAAAGUUGAGGCGCUGACAGAUGGAUGUGCGUCUGAUUAGCUAGUUGGUAGGGUAACGGCCUACCAAGGCGACGAUCAGUAGGGGGCGUGAGAGCGUGGUCCCCCACACGGGUACUGAGACACGGACCCGACUCCUACGGGAGGCAGCAGUAAGGAAUAUUGGUCAAUGCCCGUAAGGGUGAACCAGCCAUUCCGCGUGGAGGAUGAAGGCCCUAUGGGUUGUAAACUGCUUUUGUACAGAACGAAAAGCUCUUUCUAAUACAGAGAGUCCAUGACGGUACUGUAAGAAUAAGCACCGGCUAACUACGUGCCAGCAGCCGCGUAAU
This 497-nucleotide ribosomal RNA is filed under the name uncultured bacterium. RNAcentral's name for it is "bacterial SSU rRNA". It matches the Rfam family "Bacterial small subunit ribosomal RNA", at positions 28 to 524 of the family's 1533-position model. The record is from RNAcentral.